Meriones unguiculatus (Mongolian gerbil) is the source of this 1619-nucleotide long non-coding RNA. RefSeq lists it as uncharacterized. The transcript is spliced from 2 exons. Lineage: Eukaryota; Metazoa; Chordata; Mammalia; Rodentia; Muridae. The record is from RefSeq and is a predicted model, not a curated record.
GACGGCUACUGGGCUAAACGGCUGUCAGUCAAGGCGUAAAACGGAAACGGCCUGUGGGGGAGGGGGAGGGCGUGAAUGAGCGCGGUCACGUGGUAGCAUUUGAGCCAAUGAGCGAGGCCUUGUCCAGCCCGUGGGCCGCCAUCUUGAGAGUGGGUACGUGGCGGGUCAGGUGCACAGCAGUGUGCUUGCGGGAGGCUGCCUCCAUAUUGCAAGCGGGCAAUGGAAGCCGUUGGACCCCACCGUGAGGGCAAAGCGAGGUGCGUCGCCAUCUUAGAACCGGGCAGGAAACCCCUAAUUGCCCCAGCUUCCUUGCGGUCACGUGGCCAGAACUUCGACUUUAAGCCGAGUUUUUCCCGGACUAGAUAGCGGCGGUACGGGGGCCACGUGCUUCGCAGACUCAGUCGCGACUUGAUUACGAAUCUUUCCGUCUUUUGUCUGGUCCACAUCAGCCAAGUUCCACCACUGUUGCAGAAAUGGGGAAACUGAGGAAACGGACCGCAGUGUGGCCGGCUCUGCCUGUAGUUGGGGAAACCGAGGCUAUAAGGUUUCCAGUUGCAUGCCCCACAAAUAGACCCGGGAGCAGCAAAAUCCACAGGAGGAACAGAACCCCGCCCUCCACCUCCACGUACCUCCACCCCAGGAGAACACUCAAAGCCGAUAGCCCAGGAGCCAGGACUCCUGUCCUAAGGGACCGGGACGGCUUCUCCAGAGCCCAGUGCAGGCUGCAAACAGAUCCUGGCGCCUUUGGUAAGGCGCCCAAAGACGCAAACUAUAAGGAUUUUUUUGUCGGCAUGCUUAUCUGCUAAAAAAGCCCAGGCAAAGGGAAAAGUUUCUCCUCCCCCUGCAUGGGAGGGGAGCCCUGCACGCGGCCUCCUUUUCUGUGGUCCUGGGCGCAGGGGUGGAAGGGGCCUGCCAACCACGCUGGUUUCUUGCAGGCCUGGCCUGGGGCCCAACAGCCUUGGAGCCCCAACGCGGGCCUGGUGCCAGAGGAUUCCAGUCUGGAUUAGGGACGGCUGCCGAUUUCCACGGAGGCCACGCCGGGAGUGAGGUCUUUUCAGGCCCAGCCAGCCGACAGAGCAGCUAGCUUGAAGGCUCAGAAUCACUAAUCAGGACGGUCCUGCGGAUUUAGAAAAAGCCCCACAACAAGGGGUAGGAUUUGAGCCCUCUGGGACUCCAUCAUGGCCUGCCUGGACCAUCAGGACCAAGAUGGCUGAACAGGCCAAAUUGUUUCCACCACAAGCCUGAUGACCUGCAGACUGACCCCUGGAAUCCAGGUGACGGUAGAAGGAGAGGACUGACUCCUGUAUUUAUUCUCCCACCACUCAAGCUCCCUGGCGCGUCGUCCACAGUUAUACAUACAAACGACAAAAAUUUCUCCAGCCCCAAAAAUACUCUUGGAUGCCAGACAUGGUGGCUCUCUGGGCCCAUUUAAAAAAACAAAACAGCUUUUGGACACCAGACAAGACGGUGCACACCAUUAAUUUCAGCGCUCUGGAGGCAGAGACAGGUGGACCUCUGUGAGUUCACGGCCAGCCUGGUCUACAGAAUGAGCCCAGGACAGUCAGGGCUACACAGAGAAACUCUGUCUUGAAAAACAAAAAUAAACAAAAGCUUGUGGA